This is a long non-coding RNA of Oryzias melastigma (Indian medaka), 724 nucleotides long. RefSeq lists it as uncharacterized. The record is from RefSeq and is a predicted model, not a curated record. NCBI's taxonomy places the organism in Eukaryota, Metazoa, Chordata, Actinopteri, Beloniformes, Adrianichthyidae. The transcript is spliced from 3 exons.
ACUGUGUAAUUGUCUUUUCUCUAAAUAUUUAAAGUUGUGACACAAUAAUUGGAUUUUUAUUUCCCUAGUUGCAUUAUUUUUGCAAAUAAACUAUUGAUUUUCCUCCAUUUUGAAAUAAGAUUUAAAAUCAGACCUUUACAAAUGAGUUUGAAACAAGACAAAGCAUCAUAGCAACAGACGAUAAAACAUACUUAGCGAUAAGCUCAAGUCUCACAUAAAACUGUCAAAAAAACAAGAAUUGAGCACAGAGUUAUCAGAUUUCUUGAUUUAACUGCUAAGUAAUUAUUAGUGUGGCAGAUAAAAUUUGUUUUUUUCUUUUCUUUCCUAGAUGAUGUAACUUUUAUUUGUUGGGUGAACUUGACCUACCGGACAGAACACAAACAACAAGGAGAUUCAUCAGUGGACAUAUAAAGCGGUUAAACAGACCACAUGACAAACACUCACUGGCCAGCAAUUACGAGGGCAAGAAAAGCAACAAGCAAAAGAAUAAUUGAAGUCUUACUCUUUGCAUCCAUCUUUGUUGAGGCAUGCUGCAAGGCGGCCACUAAGGAGACGUCCGUAAUGAAAGUACGCUGAUAUAUGUUUACGACACAUAGAUUUUUAAGAAAACAGUGUGAGAAGCAAUGUGGAUCACGUUAAAAGUUGCUUGGCCAUCCUAAAGUUAGGAGUCGGCUUCAGUAGAGGUGAGCUGUGACACUGUUUUCUCCUGGUUUUGUUAGGUUUA